AUGACGAGGCCACGGUCGCUGCGCCGGAGCCUCGCCGUCGCUCCCGUGGCUGCGGGAUCCGAUGGCGACGGAUCUCACGGGAUGAUGACACGAGCGCGGCGCCGGCGGCUCUGCCUCAUGGAAGAAUCAUCCGAGCGCGAUCGACUGGCCAAUCUUGGCGCAACGGAUGAAUCAUCGGCGAUAAAGACGACAGAAGCGCGUCGUCAGGUCCACUUCGGACCGGAGGAAUGGAGGGAUUGGGCCAACCUGCUUCCUCUAGACCUCGUCGAGGAGAUCUCCGGCCGGCUGCUCUCCCUCGACGUGGCAGAGUAUCUCCGCUUCCGCACUGUGUGCAGGCCAUGGCGCGGACUCACCGCCAACCCGCGCACAGCAGGCCUCCUGGACAGCCGCUUCCGCCCCCGCAACUGGAUGGUGCUCUCAAUGAACCACGAGGCCGAGCCCCACCGCCGCCUCCUCAACCUGGCCACUGCGGCAUCUCUCGGCGUCCACCUCCCGGCGCUCUCCACCCACUGCCACAUCGGCGCCGCCGACGGCCUCCUCUUCCUCUUCCACAAGCCCACCAAGGCCAUUCACCUCCUCGACCCACUCACCAACACCGUCACCGAGUUCCCAGCCGUCUCCAACAUCGUUGUCGCCGUUCCCCCCUAUAGUGAACGUUACAUCCCGAAGUUGUUGCAGAAUCCCCUCCGCGUUGUUCCGACUUCCGAGGGUGAUCAAUGGCGCAUGUUUUGA
This 732-nucleotide ribosomal RNA is filed under the name Triticum aestivum (bread wheat). RNAcentral's name for it is "partial small subunit ribosomal RNA". Lineage: Eukaryota; Viridiplantae; Streptophyta; Magnoliopsida; Poales; Poaceae. The record is from RNAcentral.